GGGUAACGCUCUAGAGAUAGAGUUUUCCCCUUCGGGGGACAAAGUGACAGGUGGUGCAUGGUUGUCGUCAGCUCGUGUCGUGAGAUGUUGGGUUAAGUCCCGCAACGAGCGCAACCCUUAAGCUUAGUUGCCAUCAUUAAGUUGGGCACUCUAGGUUGACUGCCGGUGACAAACCGGAGGAAGGUGGGGAUGACGUCAAAUCAUCAUGCCCCUUAUGAUUUGGGCUACACACGUGCUACAAUGGAUAAUACAAAGGGCAGCGAACCCGCGAGGUCAAGCAAAUCCCAUAAAAUUAUUCUCAGUUCGGAUUGUAGUCUGCAACUCGACUACAUGAAGCUGGAAUCGCUAGUAAUCGUAAAUCAGCAUGCUACGGUGAAUACGUUCCCGGGUCUUGUACACACCG
RNAcentral lists this ribosomal RNA (403 nucleotides) under Mammaliicoccus vitulinus. RNAcentral describes it as "bacterial SSU rRNA". It matches the Rfam family "Bacterial small subunit ribosomal RNA", at positions 992 to 1392 of the family's 1533-position model. Lineage: Bacteria; Bacillati; Bacillota; Bacilli; Caryophanales; Staphylococcaceae. The record is from RNAcentral.